GACAGAACGAGCCUUCCACGCGUCAGCAUCUCUUCACAUGAGCAUGCUCAAAAAAGUUGCAUGGAGCAAUCAUUAUGUUGCACCAGCAUCUCUUCUCCGCAGCUACAAGAGAAGUUUCAAUGGAUUCGUUGCCAUCUAAAUGAGGAAGAAGCACAACAAAUGGCUGGAAAAUAGUUAUGGCAGCGGGAAGGUUCUUGGCAGCUUGGGGAUGUGUAUUGAGGGAGAAUGGAAUCGGUGGACUGCGCAAACGAUUCGAGGAUGAAGUUCUUUAAGUCUUUCAAUCACAUUUUUGUGUAUUUUUGUGCA
Humulus lupulus (European hop) is the source of this 306-nucleotide long non-coding RNA. RefSeq lists it as uncharacterized. The transcript is spliced from 3 exons. The record is from RefSeq and is a predicted model, not a curated record. Lineage: Eukaryota; Viridiplantae; Streptophyta; Magnoliopsida; Rosales; Cannabaceae.